Molecule: ribosomal RNA, 133 nt
Filed under: Mesocricetus auratus (golden hamster)
Lineage: Eukaryota; Metazoa; Chordata; Mammalia; Rodentia; Cricetidae
Source: RNAcentral
AUGUAUAUAAACGUUUGUGUAUCCUCCAGUUCCCAGUAGAAAAUAAACAGACCCUGAUCUCGGAAGCUAAACAGGGUGGGUCCUGUUACAACCUGGAUGGGAGACCACCUGGGAAUACUGGGUGCUGUAGCUU